This 136-nucleotide small nucleolar RNA is filed under the name Buteo japonicus. Its description in RNAcentral is "Small nucleolar RNA SNORA55 (ENSBJAG00000001517.1)". It matches the Rfam family "Small nucleolar RNA SNORA55". From Rfam's summary of the family: ACA55 is a member of the H/ACA class of snoRNA that guide the sites of modification of uridines to pseudouridines. Lineage: Eukaryota; Metazoa; Chordata; Aves; Accipitriformes; Accipitridae. The record is from Rfam by way of RNAcentral.
ACAUCUGAAUCUUUCCUACUCCUUGCGAUAUAGUGCUGACUGGAGACAUGCGAUGCCACAGGAAAGCAGAGGAAAUCCAGACAAGCUCCCUUUCACUCACCACAGUGGGACUUGUCUCUACGCCUUUGCAACAUUU